GACGAACGCUGGCGGCGUGCCUAAUACAUGCCAGUUGAGCGCUGAACGUUGGUACUUGUACCAACUGGAUGAGCAGCGAACGGGUGAGUAACGCGUGGGGAAUCUGCCUUUGAGCGGGGGACAACAUUUGGAAACGAAUGCUAAUACCGCAUAAAAACUUUAAACACAAGUUUUAAGUUUGAAAGAUGCAAUUGCAUCACUCAAAGAUGAUCCCGCGUUGUAUUAGCUAGUUGGUGAGGUAAAGGCUCACCAAGGCGAUGAUACAUAGCCGACCUGAGAGGGUGGUCGGCCACAUUGGGACUGAGACACGGCCCAAACUCCUACGGGAGGCAGCAGUAGGGAAUCUUCGGCAAUGGACGAAAGUCUGACCGAGCAACGCCGCGUGAGUGAAGAAGGUUUUCGGAUCGUAAAACUCUGUUGGUAGAGAAGAACGUUGGUGAGAGUGGAAAGCUCAUCAAGUGACGGUAACUACCCAGAAAGGGACGGCUAACUACGUG
RNAcentral lists this ribosomal RNA (497 nucleotides) under uncultured bacterium. RNAcentral's name for it is "partial 16S ribosomal RNA". It matches the Rfam family "Bacterial small subunit ribosomal RNA", at positions 28 to 507 of the family's 1533-position model. The record is from RNAcentral.